GGGGAUGCAGCUCAGUUGGUAGAGUGACUGCCUAGCAUGCAAGAUUCCCUGGAUUUGAUUCCCAGCACCUAUA
RNAcentral lists this transfer RNA (73 nucleotides) under Mus musculus (house mouse). Its description in RNAcentral is "tRNA-Ala". Lineage: Eukaryota; Metazoa; Chordata; Mammalia; Rodentia; Muridae. The record is from RNAcentral.